UGAGGAAUCUUGCGCAAUGGGGGAAACCCUGACGCAGCAACGCCGCGUGAGUGAGAAAGGUCUUCGGGUCGUAAAGCUCUGUCAGGCGGGAAGAAAUGCAUGGAGGUGAACAGCCGCCAUGCUUGACGGUACCGCCAGAGGAAGCACCGGCUAACCCCGUGCCAGCAGCCGCGGUAAUACGGGGGGUGCAAGCGUUGUUCGGAAUCAUUGGGCGUAAAGAGCGUGUAGGCGGCUUGGUAAGUCAGAUGUGAAAGCCCUGGGCUCAACCCGGGAAGUGCAUUUGAAACUGCCAGUCUCGAGUAGGGGAGAGGGAAGUGGAAUUCCUGGUGUAGAGGUGAAAUUCGUAGAUAUCAGGAGGAACACCGGUGGCGAAGGCGACUUCCUGGCCCUAUACUGACGCUGAGACGCGAGAGCGUGGGUAGCAAACAG
RNAcentral lists this ribosomal RNA (429 nucleotides) under uncultured bacterium. RNAcentral describes it as "bacterial SSU rRNA". It matches the Rfam family "Bacterial small subunit ribosomal RNA", at positions 355 to 775 of the family's 1533-position model. The record is from RNAcentral.